RNAcentral lists this transfer RNA (76 nucleotides) under Clostridia bacterium. RNAcentral's name for it is "tRNA-Thr". It matches the Rfam family "tRNA". From Rfam's summary of the family: Transfer RNA (tRNA) molecules are approximately 80 nucleotides in length. Their secondary structure includes four short double-helical elements and three loops (D, anti-codon, and T loops). Further hydrogen bonds mediate the characteristic L-shaped molecular structure. tRNAs have two regions of fundamental functional importance: the anti-codon, which is responsible for specific mRNA codon recognition, and the 3' end, to which the tRNAs corresponding amino acid is attached (by aminoacyl-tRNA synthetases). tRNAs cope with the degeneracy of the genetic code in two manners: having more than one tRNA (with a specific anti-codon) for a particular amino acid; and 'wobble' base-pairing, i.e. permitting non-standard base-pairing at the 3rd anti-codon position. Lineage: Bacteria; Bacillati; Bacillota; Clostridia. The record is from RNAcentral.
GCCGAUAUAGCUCAGUCGGUAGAGCGACUGAUUCGUAAUCAGUAGGCCAGGGGUUCAAGUCCCCUUAUCGGCUCCA